Molecule: long non-coding RNA, 1245 nt
Filed under: Sus scrofa (pig)
Lineage: Eukaryota; Metazoa; Chordata; Mammalia; Artiodactyla; Suidae
Description: lncRNA (ENSSSCG00065016942.1)
Source: RNAcentral
GUCCCCGGAUAAGGUUACAGAUACAAGAUGGAGCGGGGGNGGGGGGGUCGGGGGGGGGUCUGUGAUUGGCAGCAGAAGCCUUGAGCAGCCAUUUCUGUUGGUUUGUUUUUUUUGUUUGUUUGUUUUUGUCUUUUUAGGACCGCACCCACAGCAUAUGGAGGUUCCCAGGUUAGGGGUCUAAUUGGAGCUGUAGCUGCCUGCCUACACCACAGCAACAUCAGAUCCGAGCCACGUCUGUGACCUACACCACAGCUAAUGGCAACACUGGAGCCUUAACCCACUGAGCAAGGCCAGGAAUCGAACCCGCACCCUUGUGGUUCCUAGUCAGAUCCAUUAACCACUGAGCCAUGAUGGGAAUGGCCUAGCACAGCCGUUUUUAAUCUUUCCUGGGCCAUGGCCUCUGUUUGGGGAAUCUGAUGAACCUCUGGACCUCUCACUAGAAAAAUGCACAUGAAGGCAUACUCAAAAUUUUUCAUCCAACUUGUUUUAUUACAUUUGAAAUUGAUGGCCAUUACAGACCAUAUAAAACCAGUCUUUGCAAAGAUAUCCACAUGUCUGAUUUUUGGGUUUGUGCAGGAAUAAAAUUCAAAGUAUGCAAUAAACACACUAGAUGCCAAAUAGAUAUUUUUCACAAAUAGAUACCAAAGCAGCGAUGGUUGUCGGCUGUAGUGUCUCUGGUAUCAAAGGACGGUUCUAGGAAGAAAUCCACCUCUUUUCAGUUUUCUUCAGAGAGAGCUCGUGUCCCGACAGCAAGAGAAGAAUACUAUUGACUGAAUUCAUUGUUCCCCAAGACAGUAACAUUUCAUACUUGUAUAUAUUUAUAAAAAAGGAGAGACAGGAAGUUCCCUUGUGGCACAGCGGGUUAAGGAUCCGGUAUUGCUGCCGCUGUGGGGCAUGUUGCAACCAUGGCACACGUUCGAUUCCUGGCCCAGGAACUACCACAUGCCACAGGUGCAGCCAAAAAAAGGGAAAGAUAAAGUUUCAGAAAUUCGGAGAUAUUAAGAUAAACUUAAAUAUUUGGGGGAAAAAAGCAUACCAGACCUACUGUGUUCUUACCAUUUAAGUCAUACAAAAUAUAUUAAGUUCAAAGUGGAAUAAAUGCACCCCUCAAAGAAGGGGUCUCAAGCCAACAAGAUAUGAAAAUACCAGUAGAUUAUACAUGUGUGUUAUCAUAAAUUUGAAAUUGAGCUUUACUAAUACUGGAUGUGUGAGACUGACACCAGCACCCUCUCUUAGUUCUGUGUU